CCAAUUUAUAUAUAUGUUAGUUUUGCCUGUGGCUUCGGUCACUGGUAUUAACUACUAUGUAAACGUUGAACUAGAUCAAUUGGUGUGGAUUGCUUGGGAAUGGACGAAGCGAUGAGCCUCUUCCGGACAGGCAAGCCCCCACACUGAUAACCUUUUUUCAUAUCAUUUACUCGUAUAUACUACCACAACAACAAAAAACAAAAGCUAUAAUAGGACUUAUUAACGGCUGAGUGGGUAACAUCCUCGGCUUAAACAUAUAAACUAUUA
RNAcentral lists this unclassified non-coding RNA (267 nucleotides) under soil metagenome. RNAcentral describes it as "partial internal transcribed spacer 1". The record is from RNAcentral.